RNAcentral lists this ribosomal RNA (253 nucleotides) under uncultured bacterium. RNAcentral describes it as "partial 16S ribosomal RNA". It matches the Rfam family "Bacterial small subunit ribosomal RNA", at positions 524 to 776 of the family's 1533-position model. The record is from RNAcentral.
GACGGAGGAUGCAAGUGUUAUCCGGAAUCACUGGGCGUAAAGCGUCUGUAGGUGGUUUCGUAAGUCAACUGUUAAAUCUUGGGGCUUAACCUCAAAACUGCAGUCGAAACUACUAGACUAGAGUAUAGUAGGGGUAAAGGGAAUUUCCAGUGGAGCGGUGAAAUGCGUAGAGAUUGGAAAGAACACCGAUGGCGAAGGCACUUUACUGGGCUAUUACUAACACUCAGAGACGAAAGCUAGGGUAGCAAAUGGG